CCUACGGGUGGCAGCAGUGGGGAAUAUUGCACAAUGGGCGCAAGCCUGAUGCAGCCAUGCCGCGUGUAUGAAGAAGGCCUUCGGGUUGUAAAGUACUUUCAGCGGGGAGGAAGGUGUUGAGGCUAAUAACCUCAGCAAUUGACGUUACCCGCAGAAGAAGCACCGGCUAACUCCGUGCCAGCAGCCGCGGUAAUACGGAGGGUGCAAGCGUUAAUCGGAAUUACUGGGCGUAAAGCGCACGCAGGCGGUCUGUGAAGUCGGAUGUGAAGUCCCGGGGUGCAACCUGGAAACUGCAUUAGAAACGGGCAGGCUAGAGUCUUGUAGGGGGGGUUAGAAUUCCAGGGGUGGCGUUGAAAUGCGUAGAGAUCGAGAGGAAUACCGGGGGCGAAGGCGGCCCCCUGAACAAAGACUAACGCUCAGGUGCGAAGCCGGGGGGAGAAAACAGGAUAGGAUACCCGGUUAUC
This 464-nucleotide ribosomal RNA is filed under the name uncultured Leclercia sp. RNAcentral describes it as "bacterial SSU rRNA". It matches the Rfam family "Bacterial small subunit ribosomal RNA", at positions 338 to 794 of the family's 1533-position model. The record is from RNAcentral. Lineage: Bacteria; Pseudomonadati; Pseudomonadota; Gammaproteobacteria; Enterobacterales; Enterobacteriaceae.